RNAcentral lists this ribosomal RNA (351 nucleotides) under uncultured Butyrivibrio sp. RNAcentral describes it as "bacterial SSU rRNA". It matches the Rfam family "Bacterial small subunit ribosomal RNA", at positions 8 to 339 of the family's 1533-position model. Lineage: Bacteria; Bacillati; Bacillota; Clostridia; Lachnospirales; Lachnospiraceae. The record is from RNAcentral.
AGAGUUUGAUCAUGGUUCAGGAUGAACGCUGGCGGCGUGCCUAACACAUGCAAGUCGAACGGAAGCUUAACGCUGACGAGACUUCGGUCAAAUCUUGUUAAGCUUUAGUGGCGGACGGGUGAGUAACGCGUGGGCAACCUGCCUCAUACUGGGGGAUAGCAGUUGGAAACGACUGAUAAUACCGCAUAAGCGCACGGUGUCGCAUGACACAGUGUGAAAAACUCCGGUGGUAUGAGAUGGGCCCGCGUCAGAUUAGCUAGUUGGUAAGGUAACGGCUUACCAAGGCGACGAUCUGUAGCCGGACUGAGAGGUCGGACGGCCACAUUGGGACUGAGACACGGCCCAAACUCC